UUCCAAAGAGAUGCUAGAGAUAUAUCCCAUCUGCCACGUGCUUCUUAAAAUAAGAUCUCCUCCCACAAAGAGAUGGGGAUCUGUGUUCUUUCCCCUUGAAUUUUUGUUACGGGGCCUGUGACUGCUGCUUGUACUAACAGGGUACAGGGGAAGUGAUGCUAUAGGACUUCUGAGGCCAUAAAGAGGAUGCAGCUCAUGGAUGAGUCACUCUCUUGGCACAGGAACCUUGGAAGCCCUAAACCGUCAUGGAAGACACCCAGCUGAAGUGAUCAUACUGGAGAGAACAUGUGGAGAGACAACAUGGAGACAGAGAAACAUGUGGGAGGAUCCUCAGCUGCUCCGGCCACCAGAUGCCUCAGUCUCUCUGGGACCAGAGGAGAAGUAUGGUAUUUUAUGAGAAGACAUGCUAUGAAUGAUGAAAGGCUCUAUUUCAGCAAGUCACAGGCAGAAAAGUCCAAAACAAUGGAAUAGAACUGCAGCAUUGUUGAAAUGCCUGCAUUGGCCCAAAAUUCAACUCUUAUUUCAGUUUUCUACCUCACUGCAAUACCUUCUGGAUAUCUUUACAAUGUCAACAUCCAAUUUCACAGUGAGUACCUUUUCAAUGGACUGUCUCUUAAUUGCUUCUAGAAUGUUUUCUAAGUGCCAAAGGAUCUUAUUUAUUUUGUGUGAAUUGCUUUUAGUCUCAGAGAGUGUGUCCUUUUUAUGUUCUUG
RNAcentral lists this long non-coding RNA (711 nucleotides) under Macaca nemestrina (pig-tailed macaque). Its description in RNAcentral is "lncRNA (ENSMNEG00000046176.1)". Lineage: Eukaryota; Metazoa; Chordata; Mammalia; Primates; Cercopithecidae. The record is from RNAcentral.